This 253-nucleotide ribosomal RNA is filed under the name uncultured bacterium. RNAcentral's name for it is "partial 16S ribosomal RNA". It matches the Rfam family "Bacterial small subunit ribosomal RNA", at positions 524 to 776 of the family's 1533-position model. The record is from RNAcentral.
UACGAAGGGAGCUAGCGUUGUUCGGAAUUACUGGGCGUAAAGCGCACGUAGGCGGCUUUGUAAGUUAGAGGUGAAAGCCCGGGGCUCAACUCCGGAAUUGCCUUUAAGACUGCAUCGCUAGAAUUGUGGAGAGGUGAGUGGAAUUCCGAGUGUAGAGGUGAAAUUCGUAGAUAUUCGGAAGAACACCAGUGGCGAAGGCGGCUCACUGGACGAUUGUUGACGCUGAGGUGCGAAAGCGUGGGGAGCAAACAGG